UCCGGAGGGCGCAAUAGUUGUUCGGAAUCAUUGGGCGUAAAGAGCGCGUAGGCGGCUUACCAAGUUGGGGGUGAAAUCCCGGAGCUCAACUCCGGAACUGCUUUCAAAACUGGUAGGCUCGAGUCCGGAAGAGGGGCGUGGAAUUCCCAGUGUAGAGGUGAAAUUCGUAGAUAUUGGGAAGAACACCGGUGGCGAAGGCGGCGCCCUGGUCCGGUACUGACGCUGAGGCGCGAAAGCGUGGGGAGCAAACAGG
This 253-nucleotide ribosomal RNA is filed under the name uncultured bacterium. RNAcentral describes it as "partial 16S ribosomal RNA". It matches the Rfam family "Bacterial small subunit ribosomal RNA", at positions 524 to 776 of the family's 1533-position model. The record is from RNAcentral.